GCCCUGGCUGUCACAGGCUAAUAGCACCAGCUGCUUUCCAUUGCCCUAAGGAGUGAUUCUACUGCUGCAACGAGACCAAAUACAACGAAAGUAUUGAUGCUGCAAAAGAAGACGGAUCUUUUGGUAGGCUGGUUAAUGAUGACCACAAGCACCCAAAUGGCAGAAUGCAGAAGACUGAAGUGGAUGGAAGCCCACAUCUUGGUCUGUUUGCUUUAACAGACUUUAAAGAAGGUAAAACAUCUACUCUGAAAAAGAGGAAGGCUCGGGAAGGAAAUGAGGUCCAUGCAGUGGAGAGACAUAUGAAGACCUUCAUCAUGUCAUGUCGUGUCCCAGGGAAGUUGGUCUGUGAAAACUGCAUUAGAUCUGAGUCUUUAUAUCUUAAAGAUAGAGACUGGCAAAGUGUCAAAUUCUACGUCUAUAACUGCACUGUAGCUUACAAAAGAGAUAUAAACAAAGAUUAAAUAACACUUUGAUAGUAACACUUUACAUCUAUAUUACAGAUACUGUACAUCAUAACAUCUGUAGUAAUGCUUUAAUAAUAAGUUACGUUACACCUCUAGCCUUUUACUUUGUAAUGAACCGCUCAGCAUUUACUUCAUAAUAAACUAAUCAGGAACAAAUCAGGCAUUUAAAAUAUCCAUUAGAAUCUUUACCUACACCGUUAUAUUGAAUUAGAUCAAAUUGGUUUGGGCCG
Ictalurus punctatus (channel catfish) is the source of this 694-nucleotide long non-coding RNA. The record is from Ensembl. NCBI's taxonomy places the organism in Eukaryota, Metazoa, Chordata, Actinopteri, Siluriformes, Ictaluridae.